UACGUAGGGUGCGAGCGUUAAUCGGAAUUACUGGGCGUAAAGCGUGCGCAGGCGGUUGUGCAAGACAGAUGUGAAAUCCCCGGGCUUAACCUGGGAAUUGCAUUUGUGACUGCACGGCUAGAGUGUGUCAGAGGGGGGUAGAAUUCCACGUGUAGCAGUGAAAUGCGUAGAGAUGUGGAGGAACACCGAUGGCGAAGGCAGCCCCCUGGGUCAAGAUUGACGCUCAUGCACGAAAGCGUGGGGAGCAAACAGG
Molecule: ribosomal RNA, 253 nt
Filed under: uncultured bacterium
Lineage: Bacteria
Description: partial 16S ribosomal RNA
Rfam family: Bacterial small subunit ribosomal RNA
Source: RNAcentral